ACUUUUAUAUUCAUCGAGAGCGCGGCUUAUUAUACCUCCUACGGUCCCGCUUCCGCACCGUGCACCACUCAAUACAUGACUUUUCCGCUCGACUUUCCGCCAAUCUGCCCGCAAAUUGUAUUAAAAGCGUGGCUCCGACACUUAACACUUGGCAUGCGGUUUCAGCAGGCCUCCUGUUGUUUCAGACGUGUUGGUAGAAGGCAGCUCGACAUCGCGGUCAUCGGGUCCUGCCUCACAUACUGGGUUUCAUGUCGCGUGGUUGUGGAAGCUUUUCGUUUGACGAUCAUCGCUGCUGCUCUACACUUUGUGUACAUUUCAGAAUGGUGCAACACAAGCCAUUGUUCUUUAAGGAGACUUUCCAGGUAUUUGGAUAAUAAAGUGGUAGCCGGUAAGAACGCAAAAUCAAUUUCAUUUUUGAAGGCCUGGACCAACCUCUCUGCUGCGGUUAUAACCUCUCUUAAGGAACGCGAAGGCUGAAACGGGAAUAUAAAAUAAUCAAGCACAUUUUAAGCUCAACACCUAACCGUAUACGUAUAUCCUUGCAUGUACACUCGUUUUCCCAGGACUGGGCACCACCAGAUGUCAGCUGGACUGGGCAGUGAUUAAGUACAACUAGCGACGGACACCGGACAUGGGACACCAGCUGGCCCAGAAAGCCGCGCUUAGCUUGCCAGGUCUCAUUUUUCUCGCAGCUAGUGGCCGAGUUGGCAAUUAAAGAUAUGCACAUAUAUCGGUGUAUGGGCGCUGAGGACAAAUUCUCUGUAUUUUCUGUGAAUAUAAAUUGUAGAAAUAGGAAAAAACGUGCAACAGCUGUUUAGCGCUGGCCCAGGAUCAGCAAUCCAGGGUGGGGCGGCUGUCGCAUGC
Non-coding RNA from Drosophila melanogaster (fruit fly), 864 nucleotides. The record is from Ensembl. NCBI's taxonomy places the organism in Eukaryota, Metazoa, Arthropoda, Insecta, Diptera, Drosophilidae.